Molecule: long non-coding RNA, 621 nt
Organism: Mauremys reevesii (Reeves's turtle)
Lineage: Eukaryota; Metazoa; Chordata; Testudines; Geoemydidae
Exons: 2
Source: RefSeq, a predicted model, not a curated record
GCUCACCCCAUCCCCGUUGCCUGGGCUGUGGUUGCUAGGUAACCGAAAGGUCGCUGGUUGCCAGGCUGGCCGGAUGAGGGACUCGGAAAUAUGCAGUGGGACAAGGAGACCAGAAGCUCUGUGACAACAGCCGUGGAGAGAGGUGGUGUGGGUCACAGCCUCCCUUAGGAGAUCCAGCCAGGGACACUGCUAGGCCAUGCCACAAAUCUCUCCUUCCCAGCCAGAACUGAGAGGAAACGUCACCCACCAGCCCCAAAGACCCAGGCUGUGUCCUCCAGAAAGAGGCACCUCCCAUGGCACAGCCCCUGCCAGACUGUGCCACACCCAUGCCAAGAUGGCACACAGACUUCCCGGCAACGCCGCUGACCUUGGCAGGCUGCCGCAGCUUCGCUCAGCCAACACAGUUCAUCGGGCAAGGUGGUGGGAGGAAAGAUUCUGUGAAACGGGCCAACUUUGCCCUGCACAACAACAACGGGGUGAAGGCUGGCCCGGGCGCUGCCAGCAAGGAGUGGGGAAGCCGGGGUCCUCAGCCCUGCCAGGAGGGGCCUGUUGGGAUGCUGGGUUUGUGGUUUAGGGGGGUGAGCAUGCCCAGAGCAAUACAAUAAAGACUUUGCCCUCGGU